Molecule: ribosomal RNA, 399 nt
Filed under: Triticum aestivum (bread wheat)
Lineage: Eukaryota; Viridiplantae; Streptophyta; Magnoliopsida; Poales; Poaceae
Description: partial small subunit ribosomal RNA
Source: RNAcentral
AUGCACAUGUUUUUUAGGCGUGCAGGCCCGGGCCCCGCGCGUCGCCAUCGCCCGCUCCCGGUUGCCUGGCCCACCCUAGCCUGGUCGUCUCCCCAUGCUGGCACGGGCCACGUGACCUGGACGGCGAGCAAGAGGGCGACGGCCUACCAGUCCCCAAGCGACGCCGGCCCAAGUGGCGCAGAAGUUGGCCUUGGCCGACCAGUCCCGCGCACACGCCCAGGCCACACCCGCAGCUCGUAUAUCGCCGCGAGGUCAUACUGCGGGAGCGGCAACUGCGCCCCAUGUGGAUCUCAUGCCGUCGAGGACCAGCAGGGCCAGUGGCGUGCUGUCUGUGCGCCCUGGUGGAUCUUGUGCCGUCGAGGACCAGCGGGUGGCUUUUACAAAAAAAAUAAAGACUAG